UACGUAGGGGGCAAGCGUUGUCCGGAAUCAUUGGGCGUAAAGAGCGUGUAGGCGGCUCGAUAAGUCUGCUGUGAAAGUCCAGGGCUCAACCCUGGAAGGCCGGUGGAAACUGUCGGGCUAGAGUCCGGAAGAGGCGAGUGGAAUUCCCGGUGUAGCGGUGAAAUGCGCAGAUAUCAGGAGGAACACCUAUUGCGAAGGCAGCUCGCUGGGACGUAACUGACGCUGAGACGCGAAAGCGUGGGGAGCAAACAGG
RNAcentral lists this ribosomal RNA (253 nucleotides) under uncultured bacterium. RNAcentral's name for it is "partial 16S ribosomal RNA". It matches the Rfam family "Bacterial small subunit ribosomal RNA", at positions 524 to 776 of the family's 1533-position model. The record is from RNAcentral.